RNAcentral lists this ribosomal RNA (206 nucleotides) under uncultured bacterium. Its description in RNAcentral is "partial 16S ribosomal RNA". It matches the Rfam family "Bacterial small subunit ribosomal RNA", at positions 568 to 774 of the family's 1533-position model. The record is from RNAcentral.
CGCGCAGGCGGAUCUGCCAGUCUGUCUUAAAAGUUCGGGGCUUAACCCCGUGAUGGGAUGGAAACUACAGAUCUAGAGUAUCGGAGAGGAAAGUGGAAUUCCUAGUGUAGCGGUGAAAUGCGUAGAUAUAUGGAAGAACACCAGUGGCGAAGGCGGCCUUCUGGACUGUAACUGACGUUGAGGCUCGAAAGUGUGGGUAGCAAACA